This 499-nucleotide ribosomal RNA is filed under the name uncultured bacterium. Its description in RNAcentral is "bacterial SSU rRNA". It matches the Rfam family "Bacterial small subunit ribosomal RNA", at positions 8 to 507 of the family's 1533-position model. The record is from RNAcentral.
AGAGUUUGUCAUGGCUCAGAUUGAACGCUGGCGGUAUGCUUAACACAUGCAAGUCGAACGGUAGCAGCUCUUCGGAGGCUGACGAGUGGCGGACGGGUGAGUAACGCGUAGGAAUCUGCCUAUUAGUGGGGGACAACUUGUGGAAACGCAAGCUAAUACCGCAUACGCCCUACGGGGGAAAGGAGGGGAUCUUCGGACCUUUCGCUAAUAGAUGAGCCUGCGUUAGAUUAGCUAGUUGGUGGGGUAAGAGCCUACCAAGGCGACGAUCUAUAGCUGUUCUGAGAGGAAGAUCAGCCACACUGGGACUGAGACACGGCCCAGACUCCUACGGGAGGCAGCAGUGGGGAAUAUUGGACAAUGGGCGAAAGCCUGAUCCAGCAAUACCGCGUGUGUGAAGAAGGCCUUAGGGUUGUAAAGCACUUUCAAUUGGGAGGAAAAACAAGGGUUAAUACCCCUUGUCUUGACAUUACCUUUAGAAGAAGCACCGGCUAACUCCGUG